AUGGCAGGGGGAACCGCCCUUCCACGGAGGUGGAAGGGUCGGUAGCCAACCCGGGAAGAACCAGCAGCAAACCCGGGAAGGGCCGAGCAGACAAAAGAACAGCGCAGGGUCCUGUGUCGUUCCUCCACAAAGAGGGGGAGCGACACAUAUGUCUACUUUUAUGGAUGUACUUUGUGGUCUUGUUUAUUAUAGUUUUGUAAUAUAAUUUGAAAUCAGUUAUUGUAAAGCCUCCAGCUUUGUUCCUCCAGUAGACUGCUUUGGCUGUUUGGUAUCUUUUGUUGCUCCACAUGUAUUUCAGGAUUUUUGCUCUCCUUGUGAAAAAUAUCAUUGUUUUUUGAUAAGCAUUGCAUAAAUCUGAAGAUUAUUUUGAGUAGUAUGCGCAUUUUGACUAUAUUGAUUCAUCCAGUUAAUGAACAUGGGAUAUCUUUUCAUUUUUUGUUAGAUACAAUUAAUUUAAUUUUAUUUUAUUUAACUUUAAUUUCUUUCAUUAGUGUUUUAGUUUUCAACAUACAUGUCUUUUAAUUCAUUGGCUAAAAUUACACUUAAGUAUUUUGCUCUUCUUUGCAAAGAGAUUUAUUUAUUCAUUUGAGAGGCAGAGCAACAGAGUGAGAGGUAGACACACACACACACACACACACACAGAGUGAGAGAGAGAGAGAGAGAGAAUCUUUCAUACGCCAGUUCACUACCAAAUGGCUGCAACAGACAGGGAUAGUCAGGCUGAUACCAGGAUCCAGGAACUCCAUCCUGGUCUCACACAUUGGUGGCAGGGGCCCAAGUCCUUGGCCCAUCAUCUGCUGCCUUCCAGUCACAUUAACAGGAGGCUAGAUUAGAGGGAAAGCCGGAAGUGGCAUUGGGGCACCAUGGGCUAAGCUGCAGCUUUAAAUACUAGCAUCCCAUGCGGGUGCAGGUUCAAAUCCCAGCUGUUCCACUUCCAAUCUAGCUCCCCACUGAUGCACCUGGGAAAGAAAUGGAAGAUGGCCCAAGUUCUUUGGCCCUACACCCAUGGAGGAGAGCCAGAAUGAGCUCCUGGCUCCUGGUUUCAAUCUGGUCCAGCCCUCACCUUUGCAGGCAUUUGGGGAAUGAACCAGCAAAUGGAAGAUCUCUCUCUUUCUGUCUCUCUGUCUCUCCCUCUAUCUGUCUGAAACUCUGUAUUUCAACUAAAUAAAAUAAUUUAAAAAAAAAGAAGCAGAACACCUAGGACUCCAUUCAGGAACUUCUGUAUGUGAUGUUGGCAUUGCAAGUGAUGGCUUUACCUGCUAUGCCACAGCAUCAACUCCUACAUUAUUCUUUUGUAUGCCAUUGUAAAUGUUAUUAUUUUCUUAACUUAUUUUUCAGUUUGUUAUUAAUGUAUAAAAAUAUAAAUGACUUUUCAGUGUUGAUUUUGUAUCCUACAGCUAUACUGAACUUGUUUAUAAAUUCUAAUAUGUUUUCAAUGUCCUUAAGAUUUUCUAUACAUGAGAUUGUGAUAUUAGAACACAGAGGCAAUUUUAUUGUACAUAUGGAAAAGAAGUUAUUUGAGCUAUAUCAGGAAAAUAUAAAGCUACCAAGAUGCAGAAAGGAUAAACAGUUGGACAGGCAUGCCAAAUAUUGUAAGAUUAUCAAUUUUCUCAGAAUUAGUCUAUUAAUGGAAUAUAGUCCCAAUUAACCCCAGGCUUAUUGCGGCUCAAUUCACAAUAGCUAAGAUAUGGAAUCAACCCAAAUGUCUAUCAGCUGAAUUCUAGAUAAAGAAAUUAUGGGAUAUGUACACCAUGGGACGCUACACAGCAAUAAAAAAAUGAAAUCCUGUUGUUUGCAGCAGACUAAUGAAACUGAAAAACAUUAUACGUAGUGAAAUAAGCCAGUCCCAAAAGGACAAAUACUAUAAAGUUCUCACUGAUCUAUAGUAACUAAUAGAGCUCCUAAAAGGUAAAAAAAAAAAAAAAUCCCAAUAAGUUACACUUUAUUCAAAAUGUUUAAAUAUCCUAAUUAUGCUUUAAAAUUUCAAAACAUAAAUUCAUGAACACAGUAGAAUAGAAAUUCAGGUAUAUUAGGGAUUAUUAAAAGGGGAAAAGUACUGAUUCAUAACCACCUCUAUCAAAUGCUUGAUAUCACUUAGAGUGACAGAAGUUACAACAGUAAGUUGCCAGCACAGACAAGGACAAGCGAGUCAAAUCAUUUGCUGAAUAAUUUGUUAUGAGUAUGCAGGAAUUGUUUCCCCAAAGUUCAUGCAGCUAUUUACACAGUGAUGUCUUAAUGGUUAUGGAUUAGGGGUAGAGAUUGAUCUAAUUGUGGUGGGUGGGAGGUAGUGCUAAUGGGAGCUCUUUGGGUCCUUGGGGGAGUCUCCUUCAAGGGUGGGUCUCAAGAAAGUUUUGAUCAUUUGAGUUCAGGUUCUGCAUAACUGUUGUGUCUCCCCUUUCAUUGUGGUCAUGCUUCCACACCCAUGAGCAACCUCCAUUCAUGAUGAACUGCGGGACAACUGGAUCCUGUCACCUCCAGCUGUGAGCUGAAAGAAACCUUUUCUUUCCCAAAGAAGCUCCUCUCAGCUUCAGAGGCCAGUAGCAGGAUUUGUGUCUCAGUAGACUGCAAUAUGUUAUAGAUUUGGGAUGAGUUGACCCUAUGCAACUAUGACUUAUCCAUGCUCAUCAGUGGAGGAGGUGUGACCAUCCAGCCACAUAAAAGGGAUUAUGGUGUCCAACAGAUAGAGGAGGCAGAAUUAGUGGAACAAAGACAGAAAGAAAGGUCUUUCUUCUGUUGGGUCACCCCCCAAAAGGCCACCACGGCUGGUGCACUGUGCCAAUCCGAAGCCAGGAGCCAGGUGCUUCCUCCUGGUCUCCCAUGCGGGUGCAGGGCCCAAACACUUGGGCCAUCCUCCACUG
Non-coding RNA from Oryctolagus cuniculus (rabbit), 2858 nucleotides. The record is from RefSeq and is a predicted model, not a curated record. Lineage: Eukaryota; Metazoa; Chordata; Mammalia; Lagomorpha; Leporidae.